UGCAUCAAUCUAGGGGUGCCUGUAAAUCGGGCUGAGAUUAUACCCAUACAACCUGAUCCGGAUAAUGCCGGCGUAGGGAAAUAGAUAUGCCGAUCG
RNAcentral lists this non-coding RNA (96 nucleotides) under Indolivaga macrotermitis. Its description in RNAcentral is "Dysgonomonas macrotermitis TPP sequence". It matches the Rfam family "TPP riboswitch aptamer (THI element)". Rfam says of the family: Vitamin B(1) in its active form thiamin pyrophosphate (TPP) is an essential coenzyme that is synthesised by coupling of pyrimidine and thiazole moieties in bacteria. The record is from Rfam by way of RNAcentral. Lineage: Bacteria; Pseudomonadati; Bacteroidota; Bacteroidia; Bacteroidales; Dysgonomonadaceae.